AGGAGGCAGCAGUGGGGAAUAUUGGACAAUGGGGGCAACCCUGAUCCAGCAAUGCCGCGUGUGUGAAGAAGGCCUGCGGGUUGUAAAGCACUUUCAGUGGAGAAGAAAAGCUCGGGGCUAAUACCUCCGGGUCUUGACGUUAUCCAAAGAAGAAGCACCGGCUAACUCCGUGCCAGCAGCCGCGGUAAUACGGAGGGUGCGAGCGUUAAUCGGAAUUACUGGGCGUAAAGCGCACGUAGGCGGUCGUGUAAGUCGGAUGUGAAAGCCCUGGGCUUAACCUGGGAACUGCACCCGAUACUGCACGGCUAGAGUAUGGGAGAGGGAAGCGGAAUUUCCGGUGUAGCGGUGAAAUGCGUAGAUAUCGGAAGGAACACCAAUGGCGAAGGCAGCUUCCUGGCCCAAUACUGACGCUCAGGUGCGAAAGCGUGGGGAUCAAACAGGAUUAGAUACCCCCGUAGUC
RNAcentral lists this ribosomal RNA (460 nucleotides) under uncultured bacterium. RNAcentral's name for it is "bacterial SSU rRNA". It matches the Rfam family "Bacterial small subunit ribosomal RNA", at positions 343 to 795 of the family's 1533-position model. The record is from RNAcentral.